GACGAACGCUGGCGGCGUGCCUAAUACAUGCAAGUAGAACGCUGAAGGAGGAGCUUGCUUCUCUGGAUGAGUUGCGAACGGGUGAGUAACGCGUAGGUAACCUGCCUGGUAGCGGGGGAUAACUAUUGGAAACGAUAGCUAAUACCGCAUAAUAGCAGUUAUUGCAUGAUAACUGUUUGAAAGGUGCAAUUGCACCACUACCAGAUGGACCUGCGUUGUAUUAGCUAGUUGGUGGGGUAACGGCUCACCAAGGCGACGAUACAUAGCCGACCUGAGAGGGUGAUCGGCCACACUGGGACUGAGACACGGCCCAGACUCCUACGGGAGGCAGCAGUAGGGAAUCUUCGGCAAUGGACGGAAGUCUGACCGAGCAACGCCGCGUGAGUGAAGAAGGUGUUCGGAUCGUAAAGCUCUGUUGUAAGAGAAGAACGAGUGUGAGAGUGGAAAGUUCACACUGUGACGGUAUCUUACCAGAAAGGGACGGCUAACUACGU
This 494-nucleotide ribosomal RNA is filed under the name uncultured bacterium. RNAcentral's name for it is "partial 16S ribosomal RNA". It matches the Rfam family "Bacterial small subunit ribosomal RNA", at positions 28 to 506 of the family's 1533-position model. The record is from RNAcentral.